RNAcentral lists this ribosomal RNA (487 nucleotides) under uncultured bacterium. RNAcentral's name for it is "bacterial SSU rRNA". It matches the Rfam family "Bacterial small subunit ribosomal RNA", at positions 30 to 511 of the family's 1533-position model. The record is from RNAcentral.
AUUGAACGCUGGCGGCAUGCUUUACACAUGCAAGUCGAACGGUAACAGGUCUUCGGAUGCUGACGAGUGGCGAACGGGUGAGUAACGCAUCGGAACGUGCCCAGUCGUGGGGGAUAACGCAGCGAAAGCUGUGCUAAUACCGCAUACGAUCUAUGGAUGAAAGCGGGGGAUCGCAAGACCUCGCGCGAUUGGAGCGGCCGAUGUCAGAUUAGGUAGUUGGUGGGGUAAAGGCUCACCAAGCCAACGAUCUGUAGCUGGUCUGAGAGGACGACCAGCCACACUGGGACUGAGACACGGCCCAGACUCCUACGGGAGGCAGCAGUGGGGAAUUUUGGACAAUGGGCGCAAGCCUGAUCCAGCAAUGCCGCGUGCAGGAAGAAAGGCCUUCGGGUUGUAAACUGCUUUUGUACGGAACGAAACGGCUCUGGUUAAUACCUGGGGCUAAUGACGGUACCGUAAGAAUAAGCACCGGCUAACUACGUGCCAG